Molecule: ribosomal RNA, 440 nt
Filed under: uncultured bacterium
Lineage: Bacteria
Description: partial 16S ribosomal RNA
Rfam family: Bacterial small subunit ribosomal RNA
Source: RNAcentral
CCUACGGGAGGCAGCAGUGAGGGAUAUUGCACAAUGGGGGAAACCCUGAUGCAGCGACGCCGCGUGGGUGAAGAAGCACCUCGGCGCGUAAAGCCCUGUCAGCAGGGAAGAAAAUGACGGUAACUGGAGAAGAAACCCCGGCUAACUAAGGGCCAACAGCCGCGGUAAUACGUAGGGGGCAAGCGUUAACCGGAUUUACUGGGUGUAAAGGGGGCGUAGACGGCGAUGCAAGCCAGGAGUGAAAGCCCAGGGCCCAACCCCGGGACUGCUUUUGGAACUGCGUGGCUAGAGUGAAGGAGGGGCAGGCGGAAUUCCUGGUGUAGCGGUGGAAUGCGUAGAUAUCAGGAGGAACACCGGUGGCGAAGGCGUCCUGCUGGACUGCAACUGACGUUGAGGCCCGAAAGCGUGGGGAGCAAACAGGAUUAGAUACCCCAGUAGUC